GAUUAGUUCAGCUGGAUAGAAUGUCUGCCUACGGAGCAGAUGGUCGUAGGUUCGAAUCCUGCAUCGGGUACU
Molecule: transfer RNA, 72 nt
Filed under: Perkinsus chesapeaki
Lineage: Eukaryota; Perkinsozoa; Perkinsida; Perkinsidae
Description: tRNA-Arg
Rfam family: tRNA
About the family: Transfer RNA (tRNA) molecules are approximately 80 nucleotides in length.
Source: RNAcentral